RNAcentral lists this ribosomal RNA (271 nucleotides) under uncultured bacterium. Its description in RNAcentral is "partial 16S ribosomal RNA". It matches the Rfam family "Bacterial small subunit ribosomal RNA", at positions 84 to 353 of the family's 1533-position model. The record is from RNAcentral.
CCCGCCGGCGACCGGCGCACGGGUGAGUAACACGUAUGCAACCUGGCCGCCACAGGGGGAUAACCCGCGGAAACGCGGCCUAAUACCCCGUGACGCCACCGGAGGGCAUCCUCCGGUGGCCAAAGGAGCGAUCCGGUGGCGGAUGGGCAUGCGGCGCAUUAGCUAGACGGCGGGGUGACGGCCCACCGUGGCGACGAUGCGUAGGGGUUCUGAGAGGAAGGCCCCCCACACUGGGACUGAGACACGGCCCAGACUCCUACGGAAGGCAGCA